CUAAGGAGUUCACUGCAUGUGCAAGAGUUCGGCUGUAUGAAAAGCCUUGCUCGUAAUGAAAGUAAAGAACAUUCUUGCAAUGUUUGAAGUGUGAUUUCUGUCAUCUUGGUGCAAAUCAUGACAAUGAACGCAACACUGACAGGUUCUAUUGCCGCUGGCAAAGAGCUUAGUAAGAGUAUAUGCAAUGAGACCCGAAAGAUGGUGAACUUAACGUGUGUAGAAUGAAGCCAGGGGAAACCCUGGUGGAAGUUCGUAGCGGUUCUGACGUGCAAAUCGAUCGUCAAACAUGCGUAUAGGGGCGAAAGACUAAUCGAACCAUCUA
Molecule: ribosomal RNA, 322 nt
Filed under: Adineta vaga
Lineage: Eukaryota; Metazoa; Rotifera; Eurotatoria; Adinetida; Adinetidae
Description: eukaryotic LSU rRNA
Rfam family: Eukaryotic large subunit ribosomal RNA
Source: RNAcentral